UAGAUACCCUAUUUUGUUGAGGAUUCCAGUUGACAUCUUUACCACAUAGACAGUUGGUUUCUAGCACCAACACUAGGUGUAUUUUGGGCCACUUGUCAUUGUAACCAUUAUCGUACAUUAUAACUUUGUAAAAUUUUGCAUGUAUGAAUUUGUUUUACUUACACGUUACAAAAGAUUCCUUACACGUGUUUCUAUAAAUAUUGUUAUAUAUAAAAAUGC
RNAcentral lists this long non-coding RNA (219 nucleotides) under Theobroma cacao (cacao). RNAcentral's name for it is "long non-coding RNA (TCAC_LNC003085)". The record is from RNAcentral. Lineage: Eukaryota; Viridiplantae; Streptophyta; Magnoliopsida; Malvales; Malvaceae.